CCGCGAACGGGAGGAGCGUGCGGUUCAAUUGGAUUCAACACCGGACAACUCACCAGGAGCGGACGGUUACAUGAAGGCCAGGCUGAUGACCUUGCCUGAUUUCCGAGAGGUGGUGCAUGGCCGUCGUCAGUUCGUACCGUAAGGCGUUCUCUUAAGUGAGAUAACGAACGAGACCCUCACCGUUAAUUGCUAGUGUUCUCUCCGGAGGGCACGCACAUUAACGGGACCGCUGUCGCUAAGACAGAGGAAGGGGAGGUCAACGGUAGGUCCGUAUGCCCCGAAUCUCCUGGGCUACACGCGCGCUACAAAGGUUGGGACAAUGGGCUCCGACAUCGAAAGGUGAAGGCAAUCUCGAAACCCAAUCGUAGUUCGGAUUGAGGGUUGUAACUCACCCUCAUGAAGCUGGAUUCCGUAGUAAUCGCGGAUCAACAAUCCGCGGUGAAUAUGCCCCUGCUCCUU
This 459-nucleotide ribosomal RNA is filed under the name uncultured Thermoplasmatales archaeon. RNAcentral's name for it is "bacterial SSU rRNA". It matches the Rfam family "Archaeal small subunit ribosomal RNA", at positions 879 to 1338 of the family's 1478-position model. The record is from RNAcentral. Lineage: Archaea; Methanobacteriati; Thermoplasmatota; Thermoplasmata; Thermoplasmatales.